RNAcentral lists this long non-coding RNA (202 nucleotides) under Elaeis guineensis (African oil palm). RNAcentral's name for it is "long non-coding RNA (EGUI_LNC044147)". The record is from RNAcentral. Lineage: Eukaryota; Viridiplantae; Streptophyta; Magnoliopsida; Arecales; Arecaceae.
AAGUCCCCAGAGUGAAAAAUGCCAGGAUAGAUGCAUUAUCAAAGUUAACAACUUUGUUGCCCACUGACUUGAAAAAAGGGAUCUAUUUCAUGGUAUUAAAGACCUCGAGCCUCAAGGAGCCUCUCAUUGUCUAGCAGGUUGACAAAGAACUCUAUUGGAUUGAUCCCCUACUGAAGCAUUUAAGGUCAGAUGAGUUGCCACC